AUUGAACGCUGGCGGCAGGCCUAACACAUGCAAGUCGAGCGGAUGAAGGGAGCAUGCUCCUGGGUUCAGCGGCGGACGGGUGAGUAAUGCCUAGGAAUCUGCCUGGUAGUGGGGGAUAACGUCCGGAAACGGGCGCUAAUACCGCAUACGUCCUGAGGGAGAAAGUGGGGGAUCUUCGGACCUCACGCUAUCAGAUGAGCCUAGGUCGGAUUAGCUAGUUGGUGGGGUAAAGGCCUACCAAGGCGACGAUCCGUAACUGGUCUGAGAGGAUGAUCAGUCACACUGGAACUGAGACACGGUCCAGACUCCUACGGGAGGCAGCAGUGGGGAAUAUUGGACAAUGGGCGGAAGCCUGAUCCAGCCAUGCCGCGUGUGUGAAGAAGGUCUUCUGAUUGUAAAGCACUUUAAGUUGGGAGGAAGGGCAGUAAGUUAAUACCUUGCUGUUUUGACGUUACCAACAGAAUAAGCACCGGCUAACUUCGUG
This 484-nucleotide ribosomal RNA is filed under the name uncultured bacterium. RNAcentral's name for it is "partial 16S ribosomal RNA". It matches the Rfam family "Bacterial small subunit ribosomal RNA", at positions 30 to 507 of the family's 1533-position model. The record is from RNAcentral.